This is a non-coding RNA of Podarcis lilfordi (Lilford's wall lizard), 74 nucleotides long. The record is from the annotation of a GenBank genome assembly. NCBI's taxonomy places the organism in Eukaryota, Metazoa, Chordata, Lepidosauria, Squamata, Lacertidae.
CCUUGGAUAGCUCAGUCGGCAGAGUGUGAAGCUCUUAAUCUCAGGGUUGUGGGUUUGAGCCCCAAAUGUGGGGA